AGGUGACAUGACGUUGUUUAGCGGGGGAGGGGGAAUAGAAGGCGACAUUUCCAAUAUUCACAGGGUUUCGACUUGAAAGAAAGAAAGAAAUCCAGCACUUUCCAACACCGCCGCCCGAAAUAUCUAUUCUAUAUUUUUUUGCAACUACACGUGGAUGAGUUCUGAGUAUUGUAAAGACGGGAGCUGAAGGCAGUACAGAUGGCACUAUACAUUUUAUCCUCAGAGCAAUCCUGUGAGAAGAAUUAAACUAAGAUGAAGUUACCCUAAUUGCCUUAAACUCUGGCUUGCAAAGCUACUUGGUCCAGUGGACAACAUUUGGGAGGAGAACCUGCUCUUCCCUGGAAACUGAAGAUCCUAUUUCUGCAAUUACCUCCUCACUAUACAAGACUCCCAGGUUUACUCCAGCAAAGCAGAAGGCUAUAUUGCUUCACUGCCUGGGUCCUGAAGGCCAAAUAAUAUAUAAUCAUUUGCCAUUUCCUACCAACUUGGAAGAAGAUGCCAACCCUUAUGAAGCUGCUCUUCAAACCUUAGAUGAGCAUUUAAACAAUACUCUGAAUUUGUUUCUGAAUAUUAUAAGUUCUAUGCUAUAUUCCAACUGCCUGGUGAAUCUAUCUAUCAGUAUGUCACAGAUUGCAUGCCUUAAGUGUAACCUCUGAGUUUGCCAGCUUUACUGAUGAAAUGAUCAGGGAUCAAAUCGUUAUGAAAACAAACUGCUACAAACUACAUGAAAAACUGCUACUGGAAGGAAAACUUACCUUGGAUAAAGUUAUAGAGAUGGCUAGGAAGGUGGAAAGUGCUCUUCACUGUGCCAGAUCACUUUAUUUGGUACCCAAAACCAACUUCCUGAAAUCCAAGCUGUUCAGUGUAAAUCCUUCCAGUCCCAAUCUUCUCAUAUGGCACUGCCCCAGAAAGUGGCAGCACAAGAAAAGGAAGAGCUACCACUGCUACUGGUGUGGAAACUCUGCCCACAAAGCUGAUUUUGCUCACUGUUCUGCACAGAAGGUCACUUCAACCAUUUAGGAGCAUGAUGCUAAACUUAUAGAAGUCUUAAGAAAACUCCAACACGGACUUACUAUUUCUUCAGAGAAAUGUCAGUUUUGCAUACACUUGGUGACUUACUUGGGACACACUGUCUCAGAGUGGCAUACAUCCCAAAACUGACUUGGCGAAAGCUAUUUGGGAAACACCAGAGCCACACAACAAGGAUGCACUUUGAUAAUUUUUAGGACUCUGUAUUACUCUAAAUUUGUGAGACAAUUUUGCCUCAAAGGUUGCUCGAUUGCAUCUUCUGUUUAAAAAGAAUGUAGCAUUUAAAAGGGAUUGCAUCCUACAAGGCUAGUUUUCAGCCUAUCAAAUCAGCCAUUGCUGAAAGCUCUGCUUUCACUUCUUUUGAUACCAACAGGCACACUGUUUUAACCACUGAUGCUUCUGAAUAUUGCUUGGGUGCUGUCUUGACCCUGCAAAAAGCAGGCAGGGAAGUUACAGUUUCCUUUGUUUCCAGAGUGCUAACUGCAUCAGGGAAGAUUUAUUCUGUCACUGAAAAAGAAGCUCUAGCAUGUUUCUGAGCAGUGAGGUACUUCAGGACUUACUUGUGGGGUAGAAAAUUAACUUUAUGGUUAGACCACAAACCCCUAUCUGCUUUAUUUACUACUUGGGAAUCAAGCCGAGCAACCUCAAAAAUAGGCAAAUGGAUCCCUAGACUUACAGACUUUGAUUU
Molecule: long non-coding RNA, 1717 nt
Organism: Hemicordylus capensis (graceful crag lizard)
Lineage: Eukaryota; Metazoa; Chordata; Lepidosauria; Squamata; Cordylidae
Exons: 3
Source: RefSeq, a predicted model, not a curated record